Molecule: long non-coding RNA, 2373 nt
Organism: Mytilus californianus (California mussel)
Lineage: Eukaryota; Metazoa; Mollusca; Bivalvia; Mytilida; Mytilidae
Exons: 2
Source: RefSeq, a predicted model, not a curated record
GGCUAUGUAUCUAUGGGUUGUAUCAACAAAUCGAGCACUGAAUUUAUACUCACGUCAAGGAUAUGUUAUUACAGAAAAUAAAACUUGUUGUUUGAAAUGCAUGUUAGGUGUAAAGAAAGCGUCACGAAUGGAUAAACCCCUGUGAUAUCAAGAAGCAAAACAUAAUUCUGUAAACAUUUUUGUGACAAGUAUGACGAAUUUAUCCUGCCUGAUCACUGAGUCUGGAUUAGUAAAUACCUUAGUAGAUCUAAAACACAUUGACAAUUCUAACCUAAUGAUCUUCAAUUUCUUAAGAACUAACACUCAGCAAGCAAUAUAUAUACACACUUUAACAAAAUUUAGGCUGAGUAACCACAGCUUGAGAAUAGAAACUGGGAGAUAUGAACGAAAACUAAAUACAAUCUCAGGAAAACUUGAGCUUCUGCCCAGAUGUGGAAUGCUCUAUCAACACUGUUCACAUAGCUUGAACUGCAUUUUGUUUUAGAGUGCUCUCUGUAAUAGUUAUCCCAUGAGGACGCAGUAUGUCAUUGUAAGAUCAUCCCGAUGGCCGGCGGCCGGAGGAUUAUCUUACACUGACACACAAAUUCCGAAUGGGAUAACUAUUUUACAUCCCAGCUGUUCUAGAUUAUAUAAAAAACCAUUUACGCUUCAUAACAUCUAGUUUAGAACGCCACACAAUCAUUAUACUAUACUUUAUAUAUUACUAUAUAGUAUAUACCAUUUAUGAGCCCCGGACACAAUGUUUAAAUAUGUUAAAUUAACAGAGAGUUUAUAUCCAGUCGUCCUGAUGUAGGGGUGUGAAUCAUGUGUCUAUAUUCUAAAGGUCUUGAGUUUUAUUGUGGAUUUGACAUUUCCGCCAAAAUGUCACAGAACAAAGGAAAGCACGCAGAACAAAGAAACUCGGCUAGGCUGCUAGGGUGAUCUGGUAGGGGUGGUCCGGCUCAGCUAACCCCUGGUAGAACAAAGGAGCUGGGAUGUAAAUAUAUAUCUUUUUAUCUGAAUCAUGACAAAUAAAGAUUUGGAUUUCAAUACAGUUUUUAGUCUGUAUCUAAAUAAAAAAAAGUUCAGUAAGACGGAGGGGGAAAAGGCACAAGUUAAGGUGAACAAAUAGAGUUAGCCCUCUUUUUACUGGCUCUCUCCCUUCAUGCAUAUAAGAUUUUAAUCAUGGUUCUAUAUUUUGUAUUUACUCAUUUACUAAUUACUAGUAUUAAUAAUCAGUAUGUAUGUUAGAUUGCAUGUGUUGUUUGUGUGGAUAUUGCCUUACCUUAACUUUGUGAUUCAGUGUAUUGAUUAAUAAUACUCUUGAUGGGCCCUUUAAUUAGUAAUAAAGACAUUUGAUUGGAUUUGAUUUCAUAUACAUGUACAUGCAGUAGUGUCUUUUUGAAAAUACUGACAAUGAGGAAUUAUUUUAUGUCGUACACAAAUUUAAUGAUGGGAUAUGAUUUUACAGCAUCUAUUGCCAUUAUACCAACCAUCUGCUAAUAUCCAUUAUAUAUAAUACAUUCAAAUAAAUGCAUUCAAAUAAUAAUAUGUUGUGGGGAUGUAUAAGUACCCGUCCACGUCAACUCUGUGUUUUUGUUAGAUGUAUUUCUAUUUGUAUACAUCUGAUGAGUUAAGCAUUUUUCAACUGAUUUUUAUAGUUUGUUCUUAUGUUGUACUGUUACACCACUGUCCCAGGUUAUUGGAGGGUUGAGCGCUCACAAACAUGUUUAACCCCACCACAUUCUUUAUGUGCCUGUCCCAAGUCAGGAGCCUGUAGUUCAGUGGUUGUCGUUGGUUCAUGUCUGUCAAAUUGUUUUUUUAUUAACUAGGCCGUUAGUUUUGUCAAUUGAAUUGUUAAUUUUUUUUUCAUGUCGGGGCCUUUUAUAGCCUGUCAUACGGUAUGGGUUUUUCUCAUUGUUGAAGGCCGUACGGCUGCCUAUAAUUGCUUACAUCCACUUCAUUUGAACUUUGGUGGAUUUUUGUCUCAUUGGCAAUCAUACCACAUCUCCUUAUUUUUAUAUAGGUAUACGGAUACAAUAUAGGAAGAAAUAACGUUUAGCACCACCAUGCCACUUUACUAAUUGAUUGAUAUUUUACAAUGCGAGAUCGCUUUAUUUUUACUUGAAAUUAGCAGCACGACGGUUCACACUAGUGGAGCAGGAACUGUUUUAACUUCAGAGCCCGAGUACAUUCCCGAUUCAUUGCGGAUUUCGUGUGCUUAAUCUUUCUAUUCGAUAAUAUUGUUUACAAAUUCCUUAAUAUCAGUUUGUGAGGGAGCCUAGAGUGUUAAUAUAUGAACAAACUCAUUCAAGAUAAUUUGUAUUACUAUGAUAAAUAAAUUGUUUAAUGGUUAUUGCAUGAAUGUGUUCUUAAUAAAUGGACCUGUUUUUG